UACGUAGGUGGCAAGCGUUGUCCGGAUUUACUGGGUGUAAAGGGCGCGUAGGCGGGAUGGCAAGUCAGAUGUGAAAUCUUCGGGCUCAACCCGGAAACUGCAUUUGAAACUGUAGUUCUUGAGUAUCGGAGAGGCAAGCGGAAUUCCUAGUGUAUCGGUGAAAUGCGUAGAUAUUAGGAGGAACACCAGUAGCGAAGGCGGGUUGCUGGACGACAACUGACGCUGAGGCGCGAAAGCGUGGGGAGCAAAC
Molecule: ribosomal RNA, 250 nt
Filed under: uncultured prokaryote
Description: partial 16S ribosomal RNA
Rfam family: Bacterial small subunit ribosomal RNA
Source: RNAcentral